Labrus bergylta (ballan wrasse) is the source of this 208-nucleotide non-coding RNA. The record is from RefSeq and is a predicted model, not a curated record. NCBI's taxonomy places the organism in Eukaryota, Metazoa, Chordata, Actinopteri, Labriformes, Labridae.
UCAUGGGCUGGAUUACUAGUGAACCACACAGAGAGUUGUUCAAGACAACCAAGAGCCAGUGGAUUGACUUCAUUAAGACAUCACCAAAUGACAAGCAAUUUGUUCAGGAUAUUGGGAUCAGGCAUACUACAUAUUGCAAGUAUGGAUCACACCCUGUAACUGUUCAUUCCAACCUUGCAGCUACUGACAAGUCCAACUUCACCUGCAC